UACGAAGGGGGCUAGCGUUGCUCGGAAUCACUGGGCGUAAAGGGUGCGUAGGCGGGCCUUUAAGGCAGGGGUGAAAUCCUGGAGCUCAACUCCAGAACUGCCUUUGAUACUGAAGAUCUUGAGUUCGGGAGAGGUGAGUGGAUCUGCGAGUGUAGAGGUGAAAUUCGUAGAUAUUCGCAAGAACACCAGUGGCGAAGGCGGCUCACUGGCCCGAUACUGACGCUGAGGCACGAAAGCGUGGGGAGCAAACAGG
Molecule: ribosomal RNA, 253 nt
Filed under: uncultured bacterium
Lineage: Bacteria
Description: partial 16S ribosomal RNA
Rfam family: Bacterial small subunit ribosomal RNA
Source: RNAcentral